CUUUGGACUUACGAGAAUUGGUCAACUGGGCCUAUAAUACAAUUUAUUGAAAUGCAUUAUAAUUGCCUUCUUCUUCCCAACGUUGAUGAAAGAAACAGCCGUCGAGGGUUUCUGCCAUUGAUGAGUUUGAGCUCAUGUUUAUCCAACUGAGUAUGGAGCUUUGACUUGGUUAUGAGGGUCGUUUCCGAGCAAUCUCUGGUGGCAGCCGCCUAUUGUGUUGACUCGCAUUCCGAUAUUAUAUUCUCACCUGCUAUGGAAACCAGAACGUUAUGUAACUCGGAUGCAUUUAACGUUUCAAUUAAAUCCAUCUCCCCCACUCCUUACAUGAUUUCUCAUUCAUUGCGUCUCUCUUUCUCCCAGUCGUUGAGUCUGUAGCUAUAAAUAGGUGAUUUUGUAUACCUAAAAUUCAUCAUUUCAUUCCUCACUAAGAUGGAUUUUUUUCUCUGUUCAUGUGACUGAUAACGCUCCGCCUUGGGAAGAACAUAAAUUCACCGCAUCUAUGCGUUUCAAGAUAUCCAUCGAUGCCUCUAUGACUUAUCAUGGUCAGCUUCCGUAUCAACUAGACGUGAGUCGCAUAAGGAUUGUCUGUGAGCAGAAGUACUCAAUCCUGAGGACACAAAAGUUUCUUCGAUGAACUUCCCAUAUUUCUUAAGAUCAGCUGUGGAUUAUUUUAGAUGAUUUUUCUCUCUUGGUUUCUGAAGAUAUGUUCGUAUUCUUUGUGUGUUUUAUCUCUCACUAGGUCCCCGAUCUUGAUGUCUAUUGCUACCUUGAGCCUUUCUACAGUGACCACAGAAAAGUUACGCUAAAGCUAUCUGAUGGGAGGUUUUUGUUGACGAAAUCAUUGAGGAACUUUAACAAGGACUGCAAUACCACGCUUUAAGUAAAGGAUGUUUUAGUAACAUCAACUUAUGUCCAUAUAAAUUGUGGAAGCAAGUUUGCAAAGAAUGCAUCAUAUCUGUCUACAAUGUGUCCCCGUAUCUUGCUCUCUGGACCAGCUGAUUAUUUUACGGCUUUGAAAUUUAUCAGAAAAUAUUAGCAAAAGCACUUGCGAAAUAUAUAUUGGGGACAAAUUGAUUAUUCUUGACAGCCUCAUAUUACUUGGGGGAUCAACAGCCAAGGAAGCAAAUUUUACCAAAGGAAGUUCGUGGCGUGGAAGAUUGCAUGUGCAUGUUAAACGAGCGGUACAUCUGGAUGAUAUAACAGGUGGAUCAAGAUUGACUUCUCAGACUGUUAAGAAGUACCAACUACAACCUCUAAAAGUUACACCUUUAAAACAAGUAUGGUCAUUUAGUUUUCAUUUCUUUGUCGCUUUCUAUUUUACAUUAUAAAGAUACUUAUUUUACCAA
This is a long non-coding RNA of Brassica napus (rape), 1346 nucleotides long. RefSeq lists it as uncharacterized. The record is from RefSeq and is a predicted model, not a curated record. NCBI's taxonomy places the organism in Eukaryota, Viridiplantae, Streptophyta, Magnoliopsida, Brassicales, Brassicaceae. The transcript has 6 exons.